GCUUGUGCCAGUUUUUCCACAGGCUUCCUCCCUAACAGGAGCUCCAGGAGCACAACCCCAUAACCAUACACAUCACUUUUUCCUUGUCACAUGGGCCAUGCCUCAGCUCACAGACAGAUCUAAACUUCCAAACAUUGUGGAUCCAAAUUCCAAUGAUAAAGGAUACAAUGGAUCUCAAGCACUUAUACCAGGUUGCUGCAGUAGCUGUG
Trifolium pratense (red clover) is the source of this 209-nucleotide long non-coding RNA. RefSeq lists it as uncharacterized. The transcript is spliced from 3 exons. The record is from RefSeq and is a predicted model, not a curated record. NCBI's taxonomy places the organism in Eukaryota, Viridiplantae, Streptophyta, Magnoliopsida, Fabales, Fabaceae.